Molecule: ribosomal RNA, 495 nt
Filed under: uncultured bacterium
Lineage: Bacteria
Description: partial 16S ribosomal RNA
Rfam family: Bacterial small subunit ribosomal RNA
Source: RNAcentral
CGAACGCUGGCGGCGUGCCUAAUACAUGCAAGUAGAACGCUGAAGAGAGGAGCUUACUCUUCUUGGAUGAGUUGCGAACGGGUGAGUAACGCGUAGGUAACCUGCCUUGUAGCGGGGGAUAACUAUUGGAAACGAUAGCUAAUACCGCAUAACAAUGGAUGACACAUGUCAUUUAUUUGAAAGGGGCAAUUGCUCCACUACAAGAUGGACCUGCGUUGUAUUAGCUAGUAGGUGAGGUAAUGGCUCACCUAGGCGACGAUACAUAGCCGACCUGAGAGGGUGAUUGGCCAAACUUGGACUGGGACACGGCCCAGACUCCUACGGGAGGCAGCAGUAGGGAAUCUUCGGCAAUGGGGGCAACCCUGACCGAGCAACGCCGCGUGAGUGAAGAAGGUUUUCGGAUCGUAAAGCUCUGUUGUAAGUCAAGAACGGGUGUGAGAGUGGAAAGUUCACACUGUGACGGUAGCUUACCAGAAAGGGACGGCUAACUACGUG